Molecule: ribosomal RNA, 129 nt
Organism: Cavia aperea (Brazilian guinea pig)
Lineage: Eukaryota; Metazoa; Chordata; Mammalia; Rodentia; Caviidae
Source: Ensembl
GUCUACAGCCAUACCACCUGUAUGCGCCCAAUCUCGUCUGAUCUCAGAAGCUAAGCAGGGUCGGGCCUGGUUAGUACUUGGAUGGGAGAUUUUAUAUCUUGUAGUGUUGAAUAUAUGGGUAUGUUGGCA